CCUACGGGGCGCAGCAGUGAGGAAUAUUGGUCAAUGGACGAGAGUCUGAACCAGCCAAGUAGCGUGAAGGAUGACUGCCCUAUGGGUUGUAAACUUCUUUUAUAUGGGAAUAAAAUGUUCCACGUGUGGGAUUUUGUAUGUACCAUAUGCAUAAGGAUCGGCUAACUCCGUGCCAGCAGCCGCGGUAAUACGGAGGAUCCGAGCGUUAUCCGGAUUUAUUGGGUUUAAAGGGAGCGUAGGUGGAUUGUUAAGUCAGUUGUGAAAGUUUGCGGCUCAACCGUAAAAUUGCAGUUGAAACUGGCAGUCUUGAGUACAGUAGAGGUGGGCGGAAGUCGUGGUGUAGCGGUGAAAUGCUUAGAUAUCACGAAGAACUCCGAUUGCGAAGGCAGUUCACUGGACUGCAACUGACACUGAGGCUCGAAAGUGUGGGUAUCAAACAGGAUUAGAUACCCCAGUAGUC
Molecule: ribosomal RNA, 460 nt
Filed under: uncultured bacterium
Lineage: Bacteria
Description: partial 16S ribosomal RNA
Rfam family: Bacterial small subunit ribosomal RNA
Source: RNAcentral